Molecule: ribosomal RNA, 465 nt
Filed under: Vreelandella stevensii
Lineage: Bacteria; Pseudomonadati; Pseudomonadota; Gammaproteobacteria; Oceanospirillales; Halomonadaceae
Description: partial 16S ribosomal RNA
Rfam family: Bacterial small subunit ribosomal RNA
Source: RNAcentral
CCUACGGGGGGCAGCAGUGGGGAAUAUUGGACAAUGGGGGCAACCCUGAUCCAGCCAUGCCGCGUGUGUGAAGAAGGCCCUCGGGUUGUAAAGCACUUUCAGUGAGGAAGAACGCCUGGUGGUUAAUACCCAUCAGGAAAGACAUCACUCACAGAAGAAGCACCGGCUAACUCCGUGCCAGCAGCCGCGGUAAUACGGAGGGUGCGAGCGUUAAUCGGAAUUACUGGGCGUAAAGCGCGCGUAGGUGGCUUGAUAAGCCGGUUGUGAAAGCCCCGGGCUCAACCUGGGAACGGCAUCCGGAACUGUCAAGCUAGAGUGCAGGAGAGGAAGGUAGAAUUCCCGGUGUAGCGGUGAAAUGCGUAGAGAUCGGGAGGAAUAACAGUGGCGAAGGCGGCCUUCUGGACUGACACUGACACUGAGGUGCGAAAGCGUGGGUAGCAAACAGGAUUAGAUACCCUUGUAGUC